GUGUUCGCUUCAGCAGCACAUAUACUAAAAUUGGAACGAUACAGAGAUUAGCAUGGUCCCUGUGCAAGGAUGACACGCAAAUUCAUGAAGUGUUCCUUACUUUU
Molecule: small nuclear RNA, 104 nt
Organism: Ictidomys tridecemlineatus (thirteen-lined ground squirrel)
Lineage: Eukaryota; Metazoa; Chordata; Mammalia; Rodentia; Sciuridae
Source: Ensembl